UAAGACAGAGGGUGCAAACGUUGCUCGGAAUUACUGGGCGUAAAGCGCGUGUAGGCUGACCGGAAAGUCGGGCGUGAAAUCCCUGAGCUCAACUCAGGAACUGCACUCGAAACUCCCGGUCUAGAGUGGUGGAGAGGGAAGUGGAAUUCCUGGUGUAGAGGUGAAAUUCGUAGAUAUCAGGAGGAACACCAGUGGCGAAGGCGGCUUCCUGGACACCAACUGACGCUGAGACGCGAAAGCGUGGGGAGCAAACAGGAUUAGAUACCCUGGUAGUCCACGCUGUAAACGAUGGGCACUAGGUGUCGCGGGUUUUGACCCCCGCGGUGCCGUAGCAAACGCGUUAAGUGCCCCGCCUGGGGAGUACGGCCGCAAGGCUA
Molecule: ribosomal RNA, 377 nt
Filed under: uncultured bacterium
Lineage: Bacteria
Description: bacterial SSU rRNA
Rfam family: Bacterial small subunit ribosomal RNA
Source: RNAcentral